Molecule: non-coding RNA, 72 nt
Organism: Desmophyllum pertusum
Lineage: Eukaryota; Metazoa; Cnidaria; Anthozoa; Scleractinia; Caryophylliidae
Source: the annotation of a GenBank genome assembly
UCUCCUGUAGCUCAGUGGUAGAGCGUCCGACCGGUGUGCGGAAGGUCAUAGGUACAACUCCUGUUGGGGGAA